Molecule: long non-coding RNA, 271 nt
Organism: Notothenia coriiceps (black rockcod)
Lineage: Eukaryota; Metazoa; Chordata; Actinopteri; Perciformes; Nototheniidae
Exons: 3
Source: RefSeq, a predicted model, not a curated record
UAAUAAAAGUGAUUAUAUGUGAAUCUGUUUCAGUCCGGAGCCAUCAUGACCGUCCUCGCUGCCGUUUGCACCAAAAUGCCUGAAGCUCAACUCGCCAUCAUCUUCCUCCCCAUGUUCACCUUCAGCGCCGCCAACGCGCUGAAGGCAAUCGUUGCCAUGGACACGGCCGGCGUUGUUCUGGGAUGGCGGUACUUCGACCACGCGGCGCAUUUAGGAGGAGCGUUGUUCGGGAUCUGGUACAUCAUGUUUGGUCACGAGUUGAUCUGGAAGA